RNAcentral lists this ribosomal RNA (492 nucleotides) under uncultured bacterium. RNAcentral's name for it is "partial 16S ribosomal RNA". It matches the Rfam family "Bacterial small subunit ribosomal RNA", at positions 29 to 507 of the family's 1533-position model. The record is from RNAcentral.
AGUGAACGCUGGCGGUAGGCCUAACACAUGCAAGUCGAACGGCAGCACAGUAAGAGCUUGCUCUUACGGGUGGCGAGUGGCGGACGGGUGAGGAAUACAUCGGAAUCUACUUUUUCGUGGGGGAUAACGUAGGGAAACUUACGCUAAUACCGCAUACGACCUACGGGUGAAAGCAGGGGAUCUUCGGACCUUGCGCGAUUGAAUGAGCCGAUGUCGGAUUAGCUAGUUGGCGGGGUAAAGGCCCACCAAGGCGACGAUCCGUAGCUGGUCUGAGAGGAUGAUCAGCCACACUGGAACUGAGACACGGUCCAGACUCCGACGGGAGGCAGCAGUGGGGAAUAUUGGACAAUGGGCGCAAGCCUGAUCCAGCCAUACCGCGUGGGUGAAGAAGGCCUUCGGGUUGUAAAGCCCUUUUGUUGGGAAAGAAAAGCAGCAGGUUAAUACCCCGCUGUUCUGACGUUACCCAAAGAAUAAGCACCGGCUAACUUCGUG